Molecule: long non-coding RNA, 825 nt
Filed under: Callithrix jacchus (white-tufted-ear marmoset)
Lineage: Eukaryota; Metazoa; Chordata; Mammalia; Primates; Cebidae
Description: lncRNA (ENSCJAG00000080994.1)
Source: RNAcentral
GUGGGCGGAGGAGGAGGCUGCAGGGGAGGGGGCUGGUCAGCGGCAUCUGGCUACACACCUGCUCCCGCUUAACCCUGUGCGCGCUGGGGCAGGGCGAGCGGCGCGCGGUGGGGGUGGGGGCUGGCAGCCGGAGCCAGGGGUGACCGGGGCUGCGGACUGCCAGCCUCCCGGGCCCCGGGCCAGGCCUGGCGGUCUCGGAGCGAACAGGAAUGGGGCUCCUUAGCAGGGAUCUGUCGAGGGGCACACCAGGGAUAGCACUAUCCAGCUCCCGUGGUGGUGCCCCUCAACCUGCACUGGCCCCUUAGGGCUCCCUGGUCGGCCUCCUGUGAGCCAGCACGGCUCCAGCGGUAGAGGGAAGGCGAGGGGUGGCUCCCGGCCUCGGCGCGGACUCCCCGUCGCCCUCAGGCCGUUCCGGGAAGCCGGCCUUCCGGAGGCGGCGCGGCGGCCACGACCAUGCCAAGGGCGCGGGGUGCGGGCCAGGCUUAGCGGGCGGCCGCCAGGCGAGGAAGCUAGCGCUGGGCGCGCCCUCGCGCACUAAACGCUUCCAGGCUGGCCCUGCAGGGUUAAAGCCCCUGGAAGGGGCUGGGCUAAAACCAGAAGAGAAAAGCAGAGGGACGGAUGUGUUCUCAGACUCUGGGAGUUGCUCAAACCGGGCCUCUGCUCCUGUGAUCACCCAGCUAAGAGGGGAGUGUUAUUCAGAUAAUUCCCCCAAACGCUUUCCCUUGCAGAUCAGUGCCUGUACUCUACUGGAGCAAACUGAGGCCCAGAGAGGGGAAGAGACUUGCUGAAGGUCACACAGCAACUUUGUGCUGAAGCCCAGGCUAG